UUCGAGUCGUUGAUUUCACACUGCCGAGAAAAGCCUCUAGAUAGAAAAUAGGUGCCCGUACCGCAAACCGACACAGGUAGUCAAGAUGAGAAUUCUAAGGUGAGCGAGCGAACUCUCGUUAAGGAACUCGGCAAAAUGACCCCGUAACUUCGGGAGAAGGGGUGCUCUUUAGGGUUAACGCCCAGAAGAGCCGCAGUGAAUAGGCCCAAGCGACUGUUUAUCAAAAACACAGGUCUCUGCUAAACCGUAAGGUGAUGUAUAGGGGCUGACGCCUGCCCGGUGCUGGAAGGUUAAGAGGAGUGGUUAGCUUCUGCGAAGCUACGAAUCGAAGCCCCAGUAAACGGCGGCCGUAACUAUAACGGUCCUAAGGUAGCGAAAUUCCUUGUCGGGUAAGUUCCGACCCGCACGAAAGGCGUAACGAUUUGGGCACUGUCUCAACGAGAGACUCGGUGAAAUCAUAGUACCUGUGAAGAUGCAGGUUACCCGCGACAGGACGGAAAGACCCCGUGGAGCUUUACUGUAGCCUGAUAUUGAAAUUCGGCACAGCUUGUACAGGAUAGGUAGGAGCCUUUGAAACGUGA
This 581-nucleotide ribosomal RNA is filed under the name Staphylococcus aureus. RNAcentral's name for it is "partial 23S ribosomal RNA". It matches the Rfam family "Bacterial large subunit ribosomal RNA", at positions 1585 to 2167 of the family's 2925-position model. The record is from RNAcentral. Lineage: Bacteria; Bacillati; Bacillota; Bacilli; Caryophanales; Staphylococcaceae.